This 497-nucleotide ribosomal RNA is filed under the name uncultured bacterium. Its description in RNAcentral is "partial 16S ribosomal RNA". It matches the Rfam family "Bacterial small subunit ribosomal RNA", at positions 28 to 507 of the family's 1533-position model. The record is from RNAcentral.
GAUGAACGCUGGCGGCGUGCCUAAUACAUGCAAGUCGAGCGAACAGACGAGGAGCUUGCUCCUCUGACGUUAGCGGCGGACGGGUGAGUAACACGUGGAUAACCUACCUAUAAGACUGGGAUAACUUCGGGAAACCGGAGCUAAUACCGGAUAAUAUAUUGAACCGCAUGGUUCAAUAGUGAAAUACGGUUUUUCUGUCACUUAUAGAUGGAUCCGCGCCGCAUUAGCUAGUUGGUAAGGUAACGGCUUACCAAGGCUACGAUGCGUAGCCGACCUGAGGGGGUGAUCGGCCACCCUGGAAGUGAGACACGGUCCAGACUCCUACGGGAGGCAGCAGUAGGGAAUCUUCCGCAAUGGGGGAAAGCCUGACGGAGCAACGCCGCGUGAGUGAUGAAGGUCUUCGGCUCGUAAAACUCUGUUAUUAGUGAAGAACAAAUGUGUAAGUAACUAUGCACGUAUUGACGGUACCGGAUCAGAAAGCCACGGCUAACUACGUG